This 399-nucleotide ribosomal RNA is filed under the name uncultured bacterium. RNAcentral's name for it is "bacterial SSU rRNA". It matches the Rfam family "Bacterial small subunit ribosomal RNA", at positions 29 to 416 of the family's 1533-position model. The record is from RNAcentral.
AAUCAACGCUGGCGGCGUGCCUAACACAUGCAAGUCGAACGCGAAAGCCCCGUAAGGGGCAAGUAGAGUGGCAAACGGGUGAGUAACACGUGGGUGACCUGCCUUCGAGCGGGGGAUAACGUCCCGAAAGGGACGCUAAUACCGCAUGACAUCCUGCCUUUGAAGAGGCGGAGAUCAAAGCCGGGGAUCGCAAGACCUGGCACUCGAAGAGGGGCCCGCGCCUGAUUAGCUAGUUGGGGGGUAAUGCUCACCAAGGCAACGAUCAGUAGCCGGCCUGAGAGGGCGGACGGCCACACUGGGACUGAGACACGGCCCAGACUCCUACGGGAGGCAGCAGUGGGGAAUUGUUCGCAAUGGGCGCAAGCCUGACGACGCAACGCCGCGUGGAGGACGAAGACC